Solea senegalensis (Senegalese sole) is the source of this 2595-nucleotide long non-coding RNA. RefSeq lists it as uncharacterized. The transcript has 6 exons. Lineage: Eukaryota; Metazoa; Chordata; Actinopteri; Pleuronectiformes; Soleidae. The record is from RefSeq and is a predicted model, not a curated record.
UGUUUCUAAUUUAAAUAAAACUAAUUGGAAUUCAAUAGUCCUUUUCGGAUUUAUUUUGCUUAUUGUUUUUUUUGCUCUACUUACCCAUUUAAUUAUUUAAAUAUCAAUUAUCUUAAAUUCAUGGUUACUUAUUCUAAUUUAAUAGCUAAUUCGAUCACACUCUAUUAUAAAAUAGAAGCAUAAACACUGACAGGUUGAAUGGUUUAUGUUAUGUUAAAUGGCAACAACCAUUUAACUAAUGUAUUAUUCCUUAUUCAGACCAAUGCAUACAGUAGUAAAAAAAUGUUUAUUUGUUAUUUAUGAGUGUUGUCUCAACUAAUCAUGGGCUACUUGCAACAGUUACUUCAUCUGAAAACCUACUGGAUGAAAAAGCCUCACCUAGGAAGAAGGACGGAAAGAUGUACUUGCAUAAAAAGAGAAAAUAGGAAUUCAUCAGUUUUCCUCAUCAUCCCAGUGAGUCUGUUGAUCUUUGUCAUGGUGACCUUGUUCAUAUGGUUGAUCUUGAAAAAGUAGAGGACAAGCAAUUUACAGUCGUCAACCAUGACAACGGUAAGAUAUGCUGAUCCAUUUCACAUUAUAUCUGGUAUAUUGUAUAUUUUUAUACACUGAUCAGACAAAUCAACAUGGAGGAAACCACGGACAACAACAAAAUAAGAUUUAACAAAAAGGCCAAAACAUUAAAGCCACUUAUACUCAUUUGAAGCUCAAAAAAUAGUUCUCCUUUUAUCAGGUUGGCUUCAACAAACACGCAAAUGACCUGAAGCAGUUUCUCCGUCCCCGAAUCUCUCAACUUUCUUUUAGACUCUUUCAUAUUUUAGGUUUCUUUGCAGUGUAGGAAGUUGUCAUUGGAGUAGUGGAGUUGUCAUUGGAAUAUUGGUAUGCAAUUGAGUAAUUGUCAUGGAACAAUCAAUAGGAGGCGCCCUCUUGCUCUUUGAACUGUCAAAUCUUCCAUAAUGGGCCAGAUUUUUGGUGUGUGCCAGUUUUAUUUGGAUGUAAAUUGACAGCAUGAUUUGCACAGGCUGUGAACAGCACUUAGAUGAAGUGUCAAUCUCUCUGCGGGUUAGCAUACGUAUUUUUGAAACUGAAAAGCAAUGUCUGAGAAAGUGUGAAGACAUUUAUGGGAAGUAAAAAAACAAGAAGUCAUUACUGCUUCAAAUGCGAGAAUACAGAACGUCUUCAGUCGUCUAUAAACUACAGGAUGUCCAUGAUAUGAAUACCUAUUAAUAUUAUUUCUAUUUAUUAAAAUGCAUCUUAGUAUACUGUGCGGUUGCUGUGGAUUCAUAGCCAGAGAAGAUAGUGACCAUAUGUCAGAAAGCCAUUAUGUAUGUGUUGUCAAAAUUCACAUUAAUCCCUUGAAAUACAAAUAAAAUUCCUGCAAAUAGGGGUAAUGAUAUUGAUGUUCUCAAGCUGAUUAUUUUUUUAGUCUUUUUUAAAUGAUAUUUGGUUUUCUCCCAUUUCUUCAAACGGGUAACAUACUGUAAUGUGGGAUAUGUGAGUAAACAUUAGGUAACUCUAAAUACAAAGAACUGAAAGUCCUCAAUUCUUUGUUUGAUAUCUGUCUCCAUUUCCACUCGGAGACCAUGUGAAAGUGACGUGGAUGUGCUGUACAGUUCUAUGGACAUCGAAAAACCACAAACGAAAAGGCUAAAAGGUUAAGGCGCAAGAUGAUGUAACAUACAGCACACCAGCCGCCUGGAGCCACAUGGGGUUAAGUGUCUUUCCCUGGGCUACACUAGCAAUUAUCGAUGAGGCCGGAUGAAACAAAUCAGGUUGUUCAACUCAAAGAAUGUCAUGAAGACCUGGAUGACCUGUAACCUUCUGCUUUUAAUCUCAGACAAACUGAGUUGUCGUCACCUGUCAGUGUGAAGACCCCCAUCAUGCAGCUGAUGUUCCUGUUUCCCAGCAGAGCCAUGUCCAUUUUACUGGCUCCACUUUUCCUCUGUUCCCUCCUGGACUUGAAAGAGGCCCAGAUACCGGUACCAAGGACCAGCAGGUAGAAAAAUACCAUCACUAUCACUCCUGGGACGUUCACUGCCAUGAUGGACCAGCUGACUGACUUCCACACCGGCUGCUUUCAGACUAAGUAAGACUCUGACUCAGAAACAGGAAAAUCUGGUACUGUGAUUACCAAAGUACAAACUGAAAACUUGCCCUUUACGUCUCAUCUUUUAUACACUGGGCUCAGGGGCUGGACUGCACCCCUGGACCUCAUUCCAUGUCACACAUUAUGCCACUAUUUUCCACCAUUAGAUAUCUGUAUUGCAUUUUACCUAUCAUACCUUCUGAUUUCUUAUCUUAACUUGCAUCUGUGACUGUUCAACCAUACUAUUUCACUCAACAACAACACUUUGAUUGACAUACUAAUAACUUAACCUAAUUGUGACUGUUCAACCAUGACAUGCCAGGCUUUGCCCUGAGGAAGUUUGCCAAUGUUUUGUUUCUGUUUGAUUGGUUUACUGUUUUUAAGAAUCUGCCAGUAGUAUAUAAUUAUGUACCCUGCCUUUAAAUGUUUGGACUGCACCUCAUCAAUGUACACUCCGGUUACUUGGUAUAAAAGGUUUGAGAACCACUGUCAUAGACUACACCAGUGGUGUA